GCAAAGGGUCGUGACUGGCGCGCUCGGGUGGAACUGACCACCAGGGAGCGACGAAGCUUGAUGGCGGUGCCGCGCGCCUGGGUACCUCCG
This is a regulatory RNA element of Frankia sp., 90 nucleotides long. It matches the Rfam family "ZMP/ZTP riboswitch aptamer (pfl RNA motif)". Rfam says of the family: Previously known as pfl RNA. ZMP is also known as AICAR. NCBI's taxonomy places the organism in Bacteria, Bacillati, Actinomycetota, Actinomycetes, Frankiales, Frankiaceae. The record is from Rfam.